Molecule: ribosomal RNA, 774 nt
Filed under: uncultured Neocallimastigales
Lineage: Eukaryota; Fungi; Neocallimastigomycota; Neocallimastigomycetes; Neocallimastigales
Description: partial large subunit ribosomal RNA
Rfam family: Eukaryotic large subunit ribosomal RNA
Source: RNAcentral
CGCAUCUGUGCAUGCAGCAUAUCAAUAAGCGGAGGAAAAGAAACUAACAAGGAUUCCCUUAGUAACGGCGAGUGAAGCGGGAAGAGCUCAAAUUUGAAAUCUUCAAGGUUUUACCUUGACGAAUUGUAGUUUAAAGAAGUGUUUUCUGUUGAAGUUUUGGUAAAAGUUCUUUGGAAUAGGACAUCAUAGAGGGUGAGAAUCCCGUAUUUGACCAUUAUUUUCAGCUGUGUGAUACACUUUCAAAGAGUCGGAUUGUUUGGGAAUGCAGUCCAAAAUGGGUGGUAAAUUUCAUCUAAAGCUAAAUAUUGGCGAGAGACCGAUAGCGAACAAGUACCGUGAGGGAAAGAUGAAAAGAACUUUGAAAAGAGAGUUAAACAGUACGUGAAAUUGUCAAAAGGGAAGCGUUUGACACCAGUGUUGUUUUCUCGAAAAUCAAUUAAAAAGAGUUGGAUUUUGUGUUGUAUUGACCUUAACAGCUUGCUUCACUCUUUUCCAGCUUUUUUUAAUGCACUUUUCGUUUAACAAGUCAACAUCAGUUUCUUUUGUUGUAAAAGGGUCAUUGGAAGGUGGCUUUCUCUUCGGAGAAAGUGUUUAUAGCCUUUGAUCUCUGCAAUCGGAGAGACUGAGGUCUGCAGCGUAGAUCCUUCGGGGUUAGAUACAUUUGUGCUAAGCUACAGCUUUUCAUAGACAACUUGUUGACUAUGUUUAGUCUUGUGACUUACCCGCUUAUGCUAUUUUACCUACGCUUAGGAUGUUGAUAUGCAUGACUGAUAU